RNAcentral lists this ribosomal RNA (745 nucleotides) under uncultured bacterium. RNAcentral's name for it is "partial 16S ribosomal RNA". The record is from RNAcentral.
AUACUCAAGAAUGAGCGAAAAACUUUAAUUUGAUCAUGGACUCAGAAUCCACGCUGGUUUGCGUGCACUAAUCACACUGCCAGUUGAACAGUGAAAGUCCCGCACAGGGAUGAAGUAAAAGUGGCGCACUGAGGUAGAAGUAACACAGUAGCUAACCUACCAUUCCGAGCUGGGGGAUAACCUGGGGUGACAACUCGCGGCUUAAAUACCUGCUAUAACACUCCAUAGGAACAGAGCAGCAAAGUCAGAAUAAGUGACUCCAAAAUGUGCCCAGCAAAGGCGAUCCCAUAGCGAAACGAAAGUGGGAGUGCAUCGCCAGCACAGAAACAUAAGACUAAAGAUUAGGGACUAAGUGUAAAAAAGGACCAAACACUAAAAGGGCAGAAAUAGAAUUCUGGGAAUCGCAAGAGGACCCAUAUUGGAAAGAACAGUGGCGCCUGGCGAAACUAGCGGACCAAACACAACAUUGGUGCAACACCAGUGGAUAAGAACAAACCUAGAGAGCCAGAAACGAUCCCCAAUACCCAGGAGAGGAAAGCGACAAAGACACAGAAAGUGAAGACGAAAACCUUAAAUACUGCCAACCAACAAACUUUAGACACCCCGGAAACAAAAACGGGUACGACAUUAGCCAGAAACGAUAUAAUCAACACGACGCCCAGGAAUUGGCCGACGCUGCACUAAGCAAAAAGAUGGCCCACAUAUCACACGAAGGAAGAACAACGUUAACAAACAACCCAAUCCA